This 506-nucleotide ribosomal RNA is filed under the name uncultured bacterium. RNAcentral describes it as "partial 16S ribosomal RNA". It matches the Rfam family "Bacterial small subunit ribosomal RNA", at positions 29 to 523 of the family's 1533-position model. The record is from RNAcentral.
AGUGAACGCUGGCGGCAUGCUUUACACAUGCAAGUCGAACGGUAACAUGAAGAAGCUUGCUUCUUUGAUGACGAGUGGCGAACGGGUGAGUAAUGUAUCGGAACGUGCCCAGUAGUGGGGGAUAACUACUCGAAAGAGUGGCUAAUACCGCAUGAGAUCUCUGGAUGAAAGUGGGGGACCGCAAGGCCUCACGCUACUGGAGCGGCCGAUAUCAGAUUAGGUAGUUGGUGGGGUAAAGGCCCACCAAGCCUGCGAUCUGUAGCUGGUCUGAGAGGACGACCAGCCACACUGGGACUUAGACACGGCACAGACUCCGACGGGAGGCAGCAGUGGGGAAUUUUGGACAAUGGGCGCAAGCCUGAUCCAGCAAUGCCGCGUGCAGGACGAAGGCCUUCGGGUUGUAAACUGCUUUUGUACAGAACGAAAAGGCUCUGGUUAAUACCCGGGGCUCAUGACGGUACUGUAAGAAUAAGCACCGGCUAACUACGUGCCAGCCGCCGCCGUAA